RNAcentral lists this ribosomal RNA (492 nucleotides) under uncultured bacterium. RNAcentral describes it as "partial 16S ribosomal RNA". It matches the Rfam family "Bacterial small subunit ribosomal RNA", at positions 29 to 507 of the family's 1533-position model. The record is from RNAcentral.
AGUGAACGCUGGCGGUAGGCCUAACACAUGCAAGUCGAACGGCAGCACAGUAAGAGCUUGCUCUUACGGGUGGCGAGUGGCGGACGGGUGAUGAAUACAUCGGAAUCUACUUUUUCGUGGGGGAUAACGUAGGGAAACUUACGCUAAUACCGCAUACGACCUACGGGUGAAAGCAGGGGAUCUUCGGACCUUGCGCGAUUGAAUGAGCCGAUGUCGGAUUAGCUAGUUGGCGGGGUAAAGGCCCACCAAGGCGACGAUCCGUAGCUGGUCUGAGAGGAUGAUCAGCCACACUGGAACUGAGACACGGUCCAGACUCCCACGGGAGGCAGCAGUGGGGAAUAUUGGACAAUGGGCGCAAGCCUGAUCCAGCCAUACCGCGUGGGUGAAGAAGGCCUUCGGGUUGUAAAGCCCUUUUGUUGGGAAAGAAAAGCAGCAGGUUAAUACCCCGCUGUUCUGACGGUACCCAAAGAAUAAGCACCGGCUAACUUCGUG